This 779-nucleotide ribosomal RNA is filed under the name uncultured Neocallimastigales. RNAcentral describes it as "partial large subunit ribosomal RNA". It matches the Rfam family "Eukaryotic large subunit ribosomal RNA", at positions 24 to 646 of the family's 3401-position model. Lineage: Eukaryota; Fungi; Neocallimastigomycota; Neocallimastigomycetes; Neocallimastigales. The record is from RNAcentral.
UAUCUCUGUAGAGUCUGCAUAUCAAUAAGCGGAGGAAAAGAAACUAACAAGGAUUCCCUAGUAACGGCGGAGUGAAGCGGGAAGAGCUCAAAUUUGAAAUCUUAAAGGUUCUACCUUGACGAAUUGUAGUUUAUAGAAGUGUUUUCUGUUAGUGGGUUCGGUAAAAGUUCUUUGGAAUAGGACAUCAUAGAGGGUGAGAAUCCUGUAUUUGACCGUUACUUACCUAGCUGUGUGAUACACUUUCAAAGAGUCGGAUUGUUUGGGAAUGCAGUCCAAAAUGGGUGGUAAAUUUCAUCUAAAGCUAAAUAUUGGCGAGAGACCGAUAGCGAACAAGUACCGUGAGGGAAAGAUGAAAAGAACUUUGAAAAGAGAGUUAAACAGUACGUGAAAUUGUCAAAAGGGAAGCGUUUAACACCAGUGUUGUUUUUCCGAAAAUCAAUUACGAAUGUUUUAGUUUUUGAGGAGUUAUGACUUCAUCGGCUUGCUCUUUCUUUAUGAAACUUUCUUAAUGCACUUUUCGGUUAACAAGUCAACAUCAAUUUCUUUUGUUGUAAAAGGGUAUGAGGAAGGUGGCUUUCUUUUCGGAGAAAGUGUUUAUAGCCUUGUGCCUCUGCAAUCGGAGAGAUUGAGGUCUGCAGCGUAGAUCCUUCGGGGUUAGAUACAUUUGUGCUAAGUUAUAGCUUUUCCAUAGACAACUUGUUGACUAUGUUUAGUCUUGUAGCUUACUCGCUUACUGCUAUUUUACCUACGCUUAGGAUGUUGAUGUGAUACUGCGAGCA